CACACCCGUGUAGCUAAUGUUGUCCAACUUAUUAUCCGCCAAGUGGAGGAAACCCACGAUUCCACCUGAAGAGAAAUAACUCCCCGCCCUCACCUCUCCUCUUUCUUCGACUAUGCUUUCAAGGAAAAAAAAAAUCAAACUUCGAAACUGUUUACGCAGAGAAGACAAAUCUUCCAAGCAAGCUGGGAUUGGUGUAGAAUUAGUUCAUUUGGAAUAAGGAAAUCCAUCAAUUUCUUCCUUCUCUGCAAGACUUCAUCGAUUUUGAUCUGAAAUUGUAUCUCUCAAGCUGGAAGAUGACGACCCCCAACACCAAAGAAAUUAAGAGGGGUUGCGAAGUUAAACUUCGUUGCCAAGCUGAAAAAAGGCGAGAAAGUGCCUCUGGAAUUUUUCCAGCAUGAACCAGCUGGCCUGAACACAAGUAAGAUCUCGACUUACUGGGGAAAACUGGCACAAAAUGGAGAAAAAUUCCUUUUUGACAUUCAUGACUGGUCUGAAAUGCCAGAGAAGGAGGACAAAUUCGAAAAAUCAAUUAAAGAGCUUAAGGUAAAGAAAAUUAUCUUAAAUAAUAUAUCAGUUAUGUAAUAGAUGACUAAAUUUUAACUGAUGAUUGUUUUAGAAUGUUUUUGUUUAUUAUGAUGCGAUCAAUGUUUGAGUGGAGAAGAAAAUCCAUGAAAAAUGGAAUGCAAACAAACAUAAUAUGAUGGUGCAGCAUUGCAAUGAGGAAAAGACGGUUGCACAAAACAAAGCUAAAAAUAGUUAAUGAUACUCAGUAGGAAAAUAUGUGUACAUAUUGGCAUUCACUUGAACUCAAGAUCUUGGUGUACUGUAUAGAGAUGAUGAUGCAGAAGAAAGCACACAGAGAGGCUGUGUUUUAGAAAAAUACAAAUGUUAUAGCUGAAGGCAAUCAUGAUCAGAUGGAGGCCUUAGAAAGGGAAGAUUUAGAAGAGGAUGGUUCCGAUAAUGGUAUUUCAAUCCAAAAGUAAACAUCUGAACGGGGACAAGUAUUCUCAAAUUAUGAGAGCUGAUUACCAGGUCGGAUUCUGUGAUGUUUGCUCUGGUAUUAGAGUAACCAAGCUUAAGGUGGCAUCUUCUACAAACAGUGGCCAAAACAAAGAGGAAAAUGCGCCGUUGAGAGAUGAAGUUAAGAAACUGAGAGAGGAUCAGGUUGAUAUGCAGAAGAUCGUGCAAGAAGAAUGUCUUCAGAUGGAUAAAACUGUAAUGGAGAUGAAUAAGGCUAAUGAGGAAUCACAGAAGAUAUAGAUGCCAUAUUGCUACUACUAACUAGUGGGGGCAUCCUUCCAUAACAGCUGCUAUAGAAUUAUGAUCUUGCUAGAUUAAUCCAAGGUAAUCUACAACCAUCACAAAUAAUUGGAUCACUUAAUUAAAUACUAAACUAUUCUGCAAAAUUCAGAGAGCAUCAUGUUAGUUGCAUUAACUAGAAUGACAUUGAAUAAAAUUAAUAUGAUUAGUUUGUUGUUAUUGUAUGUUUGAGAGUCGUAGGUGUUUCAAUAUAUUUUUUUGAUAAGCUAAACUACUAUGUAAAGUUCUAGUUGAUGGAAUCAGCUGAACAAACUACUAUGUAAAGUUCUAGUUGAUGGCAUCAGCUGAACUAAAGUAUGAUGAUUUCUGAACUCAAAACAGACAAUUAGUCUAUGGUGUAUCAGAUCACGACUCGUCGUGAAACCCAAGCUACUACUGUAUACAAUGGUUGUCUAUCUCUAUUACUAGCUAACUUGUUCGUUGAAUAAGAAUCAACUUGUUUUGAUCACCCUGAA
Long non-coding RNA from Papaver somniferum (opium poppy), 1775 nucleotides. RefSeq lists it as uncharacterized. The record is from RefSeq and is a predicted model, not a curated record. Lineage: Eukaryota; Viridiplantae; Streptophyta; Magnoliopsida; Ranunculales; Papaveraceae. The transcript is spliced from 6 exons.